GAGUCGCGCGACUCACAUUGUGGAGUUGAACAAAGCACCUUUACUUGAUUUCACUGUUUUAAAAUAUAGAACCUCAAAGCGAGCUGGGAGAUAUCUCCACUCCAAUGGCGUCUAAUUCGUCCAACAAUUCGAUACUUCCAGUAUCAGUUUCUCCAAGCGCCGAAGAGAAGCAUAGGGAGAGGCUUAUCAGAGGAGGCGAUGAGAAGCUUUUUAGAGGAUCUGCAAUGACCAAAAGAGGAGCCUAUGCUGCUAUCUCUUACAUGUCUUGUGCUGUGCUUUUGGUAAUGUUCAAUAAAGCAGCUCUUUCUUCUUAUAACUUCCCUAGUGUGAAUGUUAUAACACUAUUUCAGAUGAUAAGUUCAUGCUCUUUUCUAUAUGCAUUGAGACGCUGGAAGAUCAUCUCUUUCACUGCUAGUGAAUCUUUACCUAUUUCUCAUGGCAACACUACUUUUGUACCAUUUGAGACGUUGAUGCACACCCUUCCUCUUUCAGUUGCCUAUUUGCUGUACAUGCUAGUUACAAUGAAGUCUGUUCGUGGAGUAAAUGUUCCCAUGUACACCACUCUAAGGCGAACUACAGUGGCAUUUACAAUGAUUAUGGAGUACUUUCUUGCAGGGCAGAGGUAUACGCCUCCUAUUGUUGGGAGUGUUGGAGUGAUUAUUCUCGGUGCAUUCAUUGCGGGAGCUCGUGACUUGUCAUUUGACUUCUAUGGGUAUGCUGUUGUCUUCUUGGCCAACAUUACAACAGCAAUAUAUCUUGCAACUAUAAGCCGUAUUAGGAAAUCCAGUGGCCUUAAUAGCUUUGGUCUUAUGUGGUGCAAUGGAAUUUUAUGUGGACCAGUUUUGCUGUUUUGGGCAUUUAUUCAUGGUGAAUUGGUGAUGACAAUGAAUUUCCCUUAUCUGUUUUCCCCUGGUUUCUUGGCUGUGCUUCUUCUUUCCUGUAUACUGGCUUUCUUCUUGAAUUACAGUAUAUUUCUGAACACUACUCUGAACUCAGCACUCACACAGACAAUUUGUGGUAACCUGAAGGAUCUCUUUACCAUUGGAUUAGGCUGGAUAAUUUUUGGUGGGCUGCCUUUUGAUGUUACAUUCAAGUUAUGAAGUCAGCUUCCAUUGCAAAACUGAACUGAGACAGGCGGUGGAGGCUUUCUUUAGUGAUAGACCACAAAAAGGACCUCCAAAGAUUCUAUGAUGCACGGAAAGUGGCGUUUCUCGUGUCAAAAAAGUUUCGACAUGGAAAAGCCAUGACACGGCAGUGAGACGUUUCCGAGCCACUUUCGGAAUUUUUAAAAGUUGGAAACACGUGUCCUUGCCUUGUCCAGCUAUCGUCGCGCCGUGUCAGAAAGACAAAAGAAGAAGAAAAGGAGGAGGAGGACUUAUCUAGUGGUUGGCAGUGACGGACAACAGCAAUGGCAUAACUGAUUUUGCAGGUACCAGUUAACAACUUCCUUAUGGUACCUCAACAGAAGCACGUUUAACUUGGGAGCUCCUCCCAAAAGCAAUUGCUGAUAGUAAAUGCGCACCCUAUUUCUUUUAAGGUAUUGUAGAGCCUUGCAUCUUACGUGUUGCGAGCAGGCAUAGGGAUUUUGCAAUGCGCCUUUUUGACACAUCGUUCGACCGGGCAAUAAAUUCUCAAAGCACCAUGUCCAUGCAUGGUAUUGGAGUCAAGGUUGAUUGUUGCCUCCAUAUGACCAACAGUCUCAUUGACAAAAGAUAAUAGUUUUGGUUUUGGUAAUAAUGUAAGGAAUUGCAGAAAAUGGUUAUUGUAUAAAUUUCUGUUAUUAGUGGAUGUAUUUGUCCUUUGUUUUUGUUCACUUGAAAAAUGUUCAACAUAAAGAUGGCUGCUUCACCC
Molecule: RNA transcript, 1851 nt
Organism: Hevea brasiliensis (rubber tree)
Lineage: Eukaryota; Viridiplantae; Streptophyta; Magnoliopsida; Malpighiales; Euphorbiaceae
Gene name: UDP-N-acetylglucosamine transporter UGNT1
Exons: 11
Source: RefSeq, a predicted model, not a curated record